GUGAUAUGGUACUAUUUACUAAAUCCAUUUUACAGAUGGGGAAACUGAGACUUAGAGAAGUUAGGCAAGUUGGAUAAGGUGACAUAUACAGUAAGUGGCAGAGCCAGGAUUCACACAGCUCUGCCUAGCUGGGAAGUGUAGGUCCUUUCUGUUAGCCCCCUCUCCACACAUACACACAUAGAAUCUUGUAUCCUAUCAACUUUGAGCAUUGCUGGACUUAGCUUUGUAAAUCCAAUGACAUGAAUGAAAUUCAGGCUUUGGGGGAGGUUCUUUUCUUUCUGUCCUAUGCCCAACAUUUGUUUUGCACUUUUGACAUUUGAAAAGAAAUUCUAUGUUGCUAGUGCUCAUGAAUGUGCCCAGGGCACUUGAGUGUUUCUACUAGGGUGGAAGAUCUUCUCCCAGACUAAAUUCUUUCCCCAUGGGCUCCAGGGACUGCAGAUAAGGCUUCCCACUGGAUCUGCCUGAAGCAGUCUGUGACUUUGGGAGCCAGAGACUUUUGACCUGGUUCCAGCUCCAAGCUGGAGGGGUGUCAUGAAAUCACAUGACAUUUGGACUAAAAGGGCAAGCUGAAGAAUGUCUCUCUCAUGCUGUCCUGACUUGUGAAUCUAAGCAGCGAGCAAAUGUACCCCUCCAAGGAGCAACUAUAAUCCACUGGAUAUGCCAAAGAACAGAAGAAAAGGUGACUGGAAUGCAAAAGUAGGAAGUCAAGAAACACCUGGAGUAACAGGCAAAUUUGGCCUUGGAAUACGGAAUGAAGCAGGGCAAAGACUAAUAGAGUUUUGCCAAGAGAACACACUGGUCAUAGCAAACACCCUCUUCUAACAACACAAGAGAAGACUCUACACAUGGACAUCACCAGAUGGUCAACACCAAAAUCAGACUGAUUAUAUUCUUUGCAGCCAAAGAUGGAGAAGCUCUAUACAGUCAGUAAAAAUAAGACCAGGAGCUGACUGUGGCUCAGAUCAUGAACUCCUUAUUACCAAAUUCAGACUUUAAUUGAAGAAAGUAGGGAAAACCACUAGACCAUUCAGGUAUGACCUAAACAAAUCCCUUAUGAUUAUACAGUAGAAGUGAGAAAUAGAUUUAAGGGCCUAGAUCUGAUAGAGUACCUGAUGAACUAUGGAAUGAGAUUCGUGACAUUGUACAGGAGACAGGGAUCAAGACCAUUCCCAUGGAAAAGAAAUGCAAAAAAGCAAAAUGGCUGUCUGGGGACGCCUUACAAAUAGCUGUGAAAAGAAGAGAAGCGAAAAGCAAAGGAGAAAAGGAAAGAUAUAAGCAUCUGAAUGCAGAGUUCCAAAGAAUAGCAAGAAGAGAUAAGAAAGCCUUCCUCAGCAAUCAAUGCAAAGAAAUAGAGGAAAACAACAGAAUGGGAAAGACUAGAGAUCUCUUCAAGAAAAUCAGAGAUAUCAAGGGAACAUUUCAUGCAAAGAUGGGCUCGAUAAAGGACAGAAAUUGUAUGGACCUAACAGAAGCAGAAGAUAUCAAGAAGAGGUGGCAAGAAUACACAGAAGAACUGUAGAAAAAAGAUCUUCAUGUAUGCACUAAUAUAUCAUUGUGGUUUUAAUUUGUAUUUCCUUAAUAGCUAAUGGUUCUGGGUAGCUUUUCAUGUGCUUAUUUGACAUUUGUAUGUCCAUCCUCUCUACUGAAAUAUCUGCUCAAGUCUUUUGCACAUUUCCAAUUAAAUUUUUUAAAAAUUUAUUUAUAUUUGACUGUGCUGGAUCUUCACUGUUGCACGGGCUUUCCGUAGUUGUAGCCAGCAGGGGUAUUUUUCAAUGUGGUAUGCAUGCUUCUCAUUGUGGUGGCUUCUCCUGUUGCAGAGCAUGGGCUCUAGAGUGCAAGUUCAGUAGUUAUGGAACAUGGACUUUGUUGCCCCGUGACAUGCGGGAUCUUCCUGGACCAAGUAUUAAACCUGUGUCCCCUGCUUUGGC
Long non-coding RNA from Bos taurus (domestic cattle), 1928 nucleotides. NCBI's taxonomy places the organism in Eukaryota, Metazoa, Chordata, Mammalia, Artiodactyla, Bovidae. The record is from Ensembl.